This 69-nucleotide transfer RNA is filed under the name Imatidium capense. Its description in RNAcentral is "tRNA-Lys". It matches the Rfam family "tRNA". From Rfam's summary of the family: Transfer RNA (tRNA) molecules are approximately 80 nucleotides in length. Lineage: Eukaryota; Metazoa; Arthropoda; Insecta; Coleoptera; Chrysomelidae. The record is from RNAcentral.
CAUUAAAUAGCUUAAAGUAAGCAAUGGAAUUUUAAACCAUUUAUAGUAAUUAACAUCCACUUUUAGUGA